This 415-nucleotide ribosomal RNA is filed under the name Coenosia testacea. RNAcentral describes it as "partial 16S ribosomal RNA". Lineage: Eukaryota; Metazoa; Arthropoda; Insecta; Diptera; Muscidae. The record is from RNAcentral.
UUUAAAUGGCCGCAGUAUAUUAACUGUGCAAAGGUAGCAUAAUCAUUAGUCUUUUAAUUGGAGGCUGGUAUGAAUGGUUGGACGAGAUAUUAACUGUUUCAUAAUAAUUUAUAAUAAAAUUUUAUUUUUUAGUCAAAAAGCUAAAAUUUAUUUAAAAGACGAGAAGACCCUAUAAAUCUUUAUAUUUAAAUUAUUAUAAUUUUAUAGUUUAUUUCUGUUAUAAUAAUUAAUAAUAUUUUAUUGGGGUGAUAUUAAAAUUUAAUUAACUUUUAAUUAUUUAAAUUCAUUAAUUUAUGAUUUAUUGAUCCAUUAUUAGUGAUUAAAAAUUUAAGUUACUUUAGGGAUAACAGCGUAAUUUUUUUAGAGAGUUCAUAUCGAAAAAAAAGAUUGCGACCUCGAUGUUGGAUUAAGAUAU